AGCAGCCGCGGUAAUUCCAGCUCCAAUAGCGUAUAUUAAAGUUGUUGCAGUUAAAAAGCUCGUAGUUGAAUUUCGGGAUCAAAUUGUUGGUCGUGCCUCGGUACGUACUGGCAUUAUUGAUUUCUCCUUUCUGAAGAACCUUGAUGUCAUUAAUUUGGUGUCUUGGGGAAUCAGGACCGUUACUUUGAAAAAUUAGAGUGUUUAAAGCAGGCUCACGCUUGAAUACAUUAGCAUGGAAUAAUGAAAUAGGACGUUUGAUUCUAUUUUGUUGGUUUCUAGGAUCGACGUAAUGAUUAAUAGGGAUAGUUGGGGGCAUUAGUAUUCAAUUGUCAGAGGUGAAAUUCUUGGAUUUAUUGAAGACUAACUACUGCGAAAGCAUUUGCCAAGGAUGUUUUCAUUAAUCAAGAACGAAAGUUAGGGGAUCGAAGACGAUCGGAUACCGUCGUAGUC
Molecule: ribosomal RNA, 450 nt
Filed under: uncultured Glomus
Lineage: Eukaryota; Fungi; Glomeromycota; Glomeromycetes; Glomerales; Glomeraceae
Description: SSU rRNA
Rfam family: Eukaryotic small subunit ribosomal RNA
Source: RNAcentral